ACCAACGAAGGUGUGGGAAUACGGCGAGUGAGCGGCAAGAGCUCAAAUUUGAAAUCUGGCACCCUCCGAUUGCCCGAUGUGUUUCUAUAGAAUGGUUCUCCGUGCCGGACCAUGUCAAAGUCCCUGGAAAGAGGGUAUCAAAAAGGGGGAAACCCCCGGGGAUGAGAUGACCCCCUCCGCGCUGGGAUUCUUCUUAAACGAGUCGUGUUGGGGGAGAAAUAA
Molecule: ribosomal RNA, 222 nt
Filed under: uncultured Saccharomycetes
Lineage: Eukaryota; Fungi; Ascomycota; Saccharomycetes
Description: partial 28S ribosomal RNA
Source: RNAcentral